This 262-nucleotide ribosomal RNA is filed under the name uncultured bacterium. Its description in RNAcentral is "partial 16S ribosomal RNA". It matches the Rfam family "Bacterial small subunit ribosomal RNA", at positions 524 to 785 of the family's 1533-position model. The record is from RNAcentral.
UACGUAGGGUGCAAGCGUUGUCCGGAAUUAUUGGGCGUAAAGAGCUCGUAGGCGGUCUGUCGCGUCUGCUGUGAAAACUCGGGGCUUAACCCCGGCCUGCAGUGGGUACGGGCAGACUAGAGUGCGGUAGGGGAGACUGGAAUUCCUGGUGUAGCGGUGAAAUGCGCAGAUAUCAGGAGGAACACCGGUGGCGAAGGCGGGUCUCUGGGCCGUAACUGACGCUGAGGAGCGAAAGCGUGGGGGAGCAAACAGGAUUAGAUAC